UGCCGGGAUGGCGGAACAGGCAGACGCAGGGGACUUAAAAUCCCCCGACCGUAAUGGUCGUGCGGGUUCGAUUCCCGCUCCCGGCAG
RNAcentral lists this transfer RNA (87 nucleotides) under Planctomycetota bacterium. RNAcentral describes it as "tRNA-Leu". It matches the Rfam family "tRNA". From Rfam's summary of the family: Transfer RNA (tRNA) molecules are approximately 80 nucleotides in length. Their secondary structure includes four short double-helical elements and three loops (D, anti-codon, and T loops). Further hydrogen bonds mediate the characteristic L-shaped molecular structure. tRNAs have two regions of fundamental functional importance: the anti-codon, which is responsible for specific mRNA codon recognition, and the 3' end, to which the tRNAs corresponding amino acid is attached (by aminoacyl-tRNA synthetases). tRNAs cope with the degeneracy of the genetic code in two manners: having more than one tRNA (with a specific anti-codon) for a particular amino acid; and 'wobble' base-pairing, i.e. permitting non-standard base-pairing at the 3rd anti-codon position. The record is from RNAcentral. Lineage: Bacteria; Pseudomonadati; Planctomycetota.